GGGCCCGCACAAGCAGUGGAGUAUGUGGUUUAAUUCGACGAUACGCGAACAACCUUACCAGGUCUUGACAUCCAACUAACGAGAUAGAAAUAUAUUAGGUGCCCUUCGGGGAAAGUUGAGACAGGUGGUGCAUGGUUGUCGUCAGCUCGUGUCGUGAGAUGUUGGGUUAAGUCCCGCAACGAGCGCAACCCUUGCGGUUAGUUGCUACGAAAGAGCACUCUAACAGGACUGCCGUUGACAAAACGGAGGAAGGUGGGGAUGACGUCAAAUCAUCAUGCCCUUUAUGACCUGGGUCUACACACGUACUACAAUGGCUGUUAACAACGAGAAGCUACAGAGCGAUCUAGAGCCAAACUCAAAAAGCAGCCCCAGUUCAGAUUGUAGGCUGAAACUCGCCUAUAUGAAGUAGGAAUUGCUAGUAAUCGCGAAUCAGAAUGUCG
RNAcentral lists this ribosomal RNA (440 nucleotides) under uncultured Bacillota bacterium. RNAcentral's name for it is "bacterial SSU rRNA". It matches the Rfam family "Bacterial small subunit ribosomal RNA", at positions 917 to 1359 of the family's 1533-position model. Lineage: Bacteria; Bacillati; Bacillota. The record is from RNAcentral.